GCAGCUCUUCGAAUUCCCAGUCUCAAUUCUCCAUCCUCACCCCUGAGAAAGAGCACAGCAUCUCCAGAGACAAGUUUCUUCUUAUUUACAAAUGCACUCCAUCCAGUAGUGAGCAAAUGCCUCCGUGGUUGCCCACGGUAGAUAUGGCGAAACCUCCACUCAAAGCCAUGGAGAUCCUUUGCUACAAGCUCUUGUGAAGGCCUUUGUUGAGUAUAAUCCAAGGGAGGGAAGCAGUCUUCAGCAGCUCGACGAGGGACAGAAAAGCCUCCAUGGGUGCUAGUAUCAGAUGCGGUAAGGGUUUUGCAGAACAUGUGGGGUGUUGUUGACUUCACAGCUGCUUCCAUAUCCUCCUCUUCACCAUCCCCACCAAUUUUCCCUUCCUUCAACUUCUGCGCAAUUUGCUCACUCUCAGGAACCAGCGAAACCUGUGUAUAGACCUCAUCAUUGGCUUCCUCUGCAUGGAGCUUGACGUCAACAACCCGAUAUGGGAAGGGAGAUCAUAGGCAGCAAGCGGUAAAUCAGGGAGUUGCUCCAAGUGGCCCUG
RNAcentral lists this unclassified non-coding RNA (544 nucleotides) under Hevea brasiliensis (rubber tree). Lineage: Eukaryota; Viridiplantae; Streptophyta; Magnoliopsida; Malpighiales; Euphorbiaceae. The record is from RNAcentral.